Molecule: small nucleolar RNA, 125 nt
Organism: Gadus chalcogrammus (walleye pollock)
Lineage: Eukaryota; Metazoa; Chordata; Actinopteri; Gadiformes; Gadidae
Product: small nucleolar RNA ACA64
Exons: 1
Source: RefSeq, a predicted model, not a curated record
ACAAACUGAAAAUGACCUCUGGUGUAUCAGUCAGCUGGGGUCAGAUUACUGUGCCAACAUUGAUGUUGGGUGCGUUAAUGCUUAUCACACGCUGGCCUGCUGAUAAAACCAAUGCUCCCACAAAA